AUCAUCUACAUAGACGAGGAAGCUUACUGGCGCUUGCGAGGCUCCCAGAAAUGGGUCCUGAAGGGCGAUGCGAACACUGCCUAUUUUCAGGCCAUAGCUAACAGUCGCCGGAGACGCAACACCAUCCCCCUCCUCUGGGACGGUCCGUCCCUUCUGCAGUCCCCGUGCGACAUUAGGACUCAUGUCGACGGAUUCUACCGAUCCCUUUUCUCUGCCUCUCCUAGGAGCGGCCUGUCUCUGGCCCUCGACUGCUGGUCCGGCCGCCAGUGUGUUUUAGAUGCGGAGAAUGCCGCCCUCACGGCUCCAUUCUCGGAGGAUGAGGUAUGGAUGGCCAUUAGAGGCAUGAAUCCCUCCUCGGCCCCGGGUCCGGACGACCUUUCGGUGAAAUUCUUCCAGACCUUCUGGAAUGUGAUUAAGCCGGAAAUCAUGGCCAUUUUUGACGAGUUCUACGUUGGGACCAUCGACCUUGGUCGCCUCAACUAUGGGAUCAUCUCGCUCAUUCCCAAAGUGCCGGGGGCCUCCGACAUUCGCCAGUUCCGCCCGAUCACGGUG
RNAcentral lists this ribosomal RNA (552 nucleotides) under Triticum aestivum (bread wheat). RNAcentral describes it as "partial small subunit ribosomal RNA". The record is from RNAcentral. Lineage: Eukaryota; Viridiplantae; Streptophyta; Magnoliopsida; Poales; Poaceae.